GUUAACGAACGAGACCUUAACCUACUAACUGGCCGCCUGAGUGGCAACGUUCAGGAGUAAGGCCUCUUAGAGGGACGAUCUGUGAUUAGCAGAUGGAAGAAUAAGGCAAUAACAGGUCUGUGAUGCCCUUAGAUGUUCUGGGCCGCACGCGCGCUACAAUGAUGCAGGCAACGAGUGCUGCUCCUUGGCCGAAAGGCUUGGGGAACCUUGAAAACUGCAUCGUGCUAGGGAUAGAUGAUUGCAAUCGUGCAUCUUGAACGAGGAAUGCCUUGUAAGCGUGAGUCAUCAACUCGCGCUGAAUACGUCCCUGCCCUUUGUACACACCGCCCGUCGCUCCUACCGAUUGGAUGAUCCGGUGAACUGGUCGGACUGAUGAUUGAUACCGUGGGUACGGUAAAAACACAGAAAGUCUAGUAAGCCUUAUCAUCUAGAGGAAGGAG
RNAcentral lists this ribosomal RNA (440 nucleotides) under uncultured eukaryote. RNAcentral's name for it is "SSU rRNA". It matches the Rfam family "Eukaryotic small subunit ribosomal RNA", at positions 1327 to 1785 of the family's 1831-position model. The record is from RNAcentral.